RNAcentral lists this long non-coding RNA (900 nucleotides) under Apteryx rowi (Okarito brown kiwi). RNAcentral's name for it is "lncRNA (ENSARWG00000012014.1)". Lineage: Eukaryota; Metazoa; Chordata; Aves; Apterygiformes; Apterygidae. The record is from RNAcentral.
AGGAAACUGGCAUAGGCAAAACAGUUAACAGUUUUAGGAAACAUGCCACUGCUGGGAAUGUAGCUAAAUCCCUGGUAAACCAGUGGAAAAAACUUAUCCCUCCAGAAAGUGAAAGUGGUCACAGAGUUAAACAAAAUACUGAAAAAGAGAAACAUGAGACAAAAUCUUCCAUUUCCAAGGAGAAUAAGCCUUCAGAGAAGUCCAAAGCAUCUGUACUGGCCUCCAAAAGCUCUUCCAUUUCUAAAAAGUUGAAUAAGGAGCAUACUCGUAUGGAAAACAAACACAGAAGUGGAGAUUCUGAGUCUCAAAAAGAAUGUGAUAGUAAAGAAUGUAGCAGCAGUGGUUCUAAGCAUGCUUCCCGGAGUGCCAAUCCUAAAGCUAAAAAAAGUAGCUUUAAAGAGACAGCCUCCACAGACAGCAAAAAACUUUCAGAAAAGCAGCAUUCCGCUGUAACCAAUAAAGACUUAUCCCACCUGAAGGAAAAAACUAGUAAAGGUACUUCCAAACAGAGAAAUCCUAAGCAUGUGAGGAAACCAAAACAAAAACUUGUCAUGAGAAACAAGGCUGAAUUACCUAGUGAUGAGGAAUUUGAGCCCCCUACUAUGUCUUUUGAAUCUUAUCUUAAUUAUGAUCAGGUUACAAAUAAAAGAAAGAGGAAGGCUUGUUCUACAAGUAAACAGCCAAAGAAGCACAGUGAACAGAAGAGCAGCUCAUUAACACAAAAGACUUCAAAAUUUCCUCGUGCAAAAGAGGAAGAAGAAAAUGUACAAAAAUCUGAGGAUGAUCAGUCAGAAACUCCCAGUAAAAAGGCCAAGAUGGCAUCCCUCCAAGAUCUUCUUAAUACUCCACUGCCUAAAUUUCUGCCAGGCAUCUCAGUCUCUUCUCCCCCAUAUGCUGCUG